This 2624-nucleotide long non-coding RNA is filed under the name Homo sapiens (human). Its description in RNAcentral is "HSALNT0383016". Lineage: Eukaryota; Metazoa; Chordata; Mammalia; Primates; Hominidae. The record is from RNAcentral.
CUCUCUCUCCCCAAGCCUCUGCAGUUCUGUGCAGGAAAAUCUUCCUCCUCGAGUUACUGCCUCAAUCCAUCAACACAGGGACUGCUGUUCCUCUCAACCUGUGGAGUGUUAGAGGGAACAGUUCUUACUCUUCACCAAAGGAAGGGGAGCAGCUCUUCUUCUUCUGAUAAGAGAGGACAUCAGUUGGCCAGUUUACCAGUGGGUGGGGUUACUGAGCCACAGAAGCUGAAAACAAGACCCGCCCUGGCCCUUUCUUUGUGCUGCUUGACCUGCGGCUGGGUGAGCAGGCCCAGGGUUCCCUUCUCUUGGCUUCCCGUCCCUGUGCGGUCAGUGUACCUGGGCAGGGCUCAGGAACUGCCUUGUCGGGGCAGCCUGGAAGCCAGUCAUUUCUCUCCUGCUCUGGAACUCUGUGUUCUGCCAGGGACACAGUUUGUGGGGCAGGCCUGAGACCUUCCAUGUAGCUGGUGGGGUAAGUGGGCUCGGAGUCUGGUUAACAGAACCCACCUACCAAGACAAGUUUCAGGGUCAGAUUUAAUAUAUAAAACUGGCCACAAUUUGGCUCCUUCCUGAUUGCUCAGCCAUGUGUUUAUUGUCAUUCUACUUCUUUUUGUCCCUUUACCUCUAACUAUGUCCCACUAGAAGACAUCUUAAAGUGAAACUGUAAGGGAGGAUAUGAGUGGCAUCUUUUUGAGUCCUUGCAUUUAUAAGAACAUCCUGUUUCCCUCAGCAAAUGAGAGGCAAACAGGUUGCAUGUGGUAUUGUGAAGUCAGAAUAUUUCCCCCUUAAAAUUCUAAAGACCAAUGUUUCCUUGUCCUUCAAGAUAAGACGGGUGUUAGGUAACAGUUGGAUUUUGUGAUCACUUAAGUUUUGAAAUUCUGGGUUAAAGAUAAGAAGUUUAUUAACUGCAGGACUUUUCAGAGCCCUGAUAUAUACGGUCAGGCUCCAAGAGGUGAUACAGAGUAUGGUGUUUCUCAAAUGUAAUAGGCCAUGCAUCUCAAAGAAACAGUGUCCUAUAAACCAAUGUCCUAACAUUUUCAUCUCAUUAUGAUGAAAAGAAUCAAAGCAAGGCCCAGCCCAGAGAGGAGAAUCAUUCCUAACUCUAGUAGGUCUUAGGCAUCUCUUCACGACCCUUCACGCUGGUGAACUCUUGACUUCCUUUCAAGGAAGGCAUUUCGUGUUUCCUUCUGAGCGUGUCAUCCACAAGGCUGAGAAAAUAUUUUAUUUGCUAUAAAUUUAUGUUAAUAGUUCAGAAGUUUAGCAAUGGUGUUUGGGACACGGCACGUCUGCCAACCUUGAUGAGUGAGAGUAAGAAGGGCUGCUACAGACUGCACAUCUGCAGAAGGGCAGAAGAGCUUCUCUUCCAAGUGCCCGAGCCCAGGCCCCCAGCCAGGAGCAAGCCCUGGCAGUGCCUCUCCUCCGCCUGUGUGGGGCUAGGCCAGGGCCCAGCUGCAGCUGUGCCUUGGUCUUGUGUGGCCACCCAUGCCAAGGGCAAAGCCCACUCCAGAAGGAAUCUCCUGUGGCAGAGCUCUGCGUGCUGUGGCUGCCCACUCUGAGAGGAGGCCAGAGUAUUUGUUAAACAAUGUUCGUUUUAUUUGAGAUCACCCUAUCAUAGGAGUGAACCCUUAAAACCCUUGUCUAAGCCAGUGUGUCUUAAAUAACACCCAAGCCAAGAAACAGCUAUAAUAAUUCUGAUUUUUUCCUUUUGUUCUAACAAAGAUUCAAACUAGUGUUUUAUACUUUCAAAUGAAGAAACUUCAUUUAAAAAGUCAUAGACAAAUGUUCAAGGCCACAAUUUUAAGCAGAUUAUUUCACAACCAACAGAAUGCAGGUCGUGAAAGCAAAGACGGAAUCACAGCCCUCCUCCUCCAAGUGGAAUAGAUUAACACCAAAAUAAAAUCAUCCCAUUUCACGGACCCUUGAUUCCUCAAAAGAGACUGGGCUAAAGAACUUUCUUUGCAUCAACCGAUGUCCAGUCCCAGGAACCCAAUUUAGGAGCUUAGGAGACCACAGAGACAUGGCUCAUGAUCAGUGAAUCUGACUCAUACUGUCUAAUAACUUUAAUUUCUCUGCAUAUUAACUUGGUUUUUGUUUCUCCUUCCUUUAGGAGUUGACUAGCUUUGCUUAUGCUCUCAAGUUGAUCCAUACAGUGCCAGAUUAUACCCUAUCAUAAGAGAUAGGGUCCCCUGAACACAAGAAGUCAUCUCCCCUUCUGGGACUGUGAACUCAAGAAAGCAGGAAGUAUGCCUCCCUUAUUCAUCACUGGGUCCCCAGUGCUUAGAACAGUGCCUGGCACAGAGACGGGGCUCUGUAAAGAUCUGCUGAAUGAACACUUUAUCCUCUUACUUCUUAUCCUUCAAGCCUCAGAUGUUCCCCCAGGAUGCCUUCUUCGUUUCCCCAGACUAGUUCAAGCUGCACCUCCGACGUGCUCCCACAGCCCCUGAGCUGCCUCCCUGCAGACGCCAUACCUGCCGUGGCUGCUUGUUUGCUGAGUAGCCUCUCCCACUGAACCCUGGGCAACUUGAGAUAAAUGAAGAUUCUGAGGCCAAAGGAGAAUUGCAGGGAAGAUAAAUCCUGAAAACUUUUCAAACAUUUCAGAAUGCACACUCCCUUUGAAGAGUAAAAAA